Molecule: non-coding RNA, 68 nt
Organism: Potamilus streckersoni
Lineage: Eukaryota; Metazoa; Mollusca; Bivalvia; Unionida; Unionidae
Source: the annotation of a GenBank genome assembly
GGUGGCCUAGUGGUUAGAGUGUCCGCCUCGGAUGCGGGAGGUCGUGGAUUUGAUCCCCUGUUUCGUCA